RNAcentral lists this long non-coding RNA (562 nucleotides) under Homo sapiens (human). Its description in RNAcentral is "novel transcript, antisense to CDH1". Lineage: Eukaryota; Metazoa; Chordata; Mammalia; Primates; Hominidae. The record is from RNAcentral.
ACAGUCACACACGCUGACCUCUAAGGUGGUCACUUGGUCUUUAUUCUGGUUAUCCAUGAGCUUGAGAUUGAUUUUGUAGUCACCCACCUCUAAGGCCAUCUUUGGCUUCAAAAUGAUAGAUUCUUGGGCUGGAGAAAGCAAUAAAAAGAAAUGAUGAGACCAGGGGAGGAAAAUAAAAAGCUCAUUCCAGAAUAAAAUUGCUAGUGAACUAAAGACACCCGCAAGCCGAGUGAAGAGAGCAGAGCUGCUUGGGUUUUAUUUAGGAGGCACAAAGAUGGGGGCUUCAUUCACAUCCAGCACAUCCACGGUGACGGUGGCUGUGGAGGUGGUGAGAGAGACCUCAAAAGACAGAGUCUCACUCUGUUGCCCAGGCCAGGGUGCAGUAGCACGAUCUUGGCUCACUACAACCUCUGUCUUCCAGGCUCAAGCGAUUCUCCUGCUUCAGCCUCCCAAGCAGCAGGGAUUACAAGUGUGCACCACCACGCCCAGUUAAUUUUUGUAUUUUUGGUAGAGACAGGUUUUCACCAUGUUGGCCAGGCUGGUCCCAAACUCCCGACCUCAG